Molecule: ribosomal RNA, 271 nt
Filed under: uncultured archaeon
Lineage: Archaea
Description: partial 16S ribosomal RNA
Rfam family: Archaeal small subunit ribosomal RNA
Source: RNAcentral
CAGCGCCACGAGUGGGGGUCACGAUUAUUGGGCCUAAAGCGUCCGUAGCCGGUUCAGCAAAUCCUUUGUGAAAUCGUUGGGCUCAACCCAACGGCGUGCAGGGGACACUACUGAACUAGGGACCGGGAGGGGUUGGAGGUAUUUCUGAGGGAGCGGUAAAAUGCUAUAAUCUCAGGAGGACCACCUGUGGCGAAGGCGUCCAACCAGAACGGAUCCGACGGUGAGGGACGAAGGCUAGGGGAGCGAUCCGGAUUAGAUACCCGAGUAGUCC